CCUACGGGUGGCAGCAGUGAGGAAUAUUGGUCAAUGGCCGGAAGGCUGAACCAGCCAAGCCGCGUGAAGGACGAAGGUGCCAAGCAUUGUAAACUUCUUUUGUCAAGGGACAAAAUCAGGCUCGAGAGCCUGACCGAGGGUACUUGAAGAAAAAGCAUCGGCUAACUCCGUGCCAGCAGCCGCGGUAAUACGGAGGAUGCGAGCGUUAUCCGGAUUUAUUGGGUUUAAAGGGUGCGUAGGCGGCCUUUUAAGUCAGCGGUGAAAGUCUGUGGCUCAACCAUAGAAUUGCCGUUGAAACUGGGAGGCUUGAGUAUGUUUGAGGCAGGCGGAAUGCGUGGUGUAGCGGUGAAAUGCUUAGAUAUCACGCAGAACCCCGAUUGCGAAGGCAGCCUGCCAAGCCAUGACUGACGCUGAUGCACGAAAGCGUGGGGAUCAAACAGGAUUAGAUACCCUUGUAGUC
This 460-nucleotide ribosomal RNA is filed under the name uncultured bacterium. Its description in RNAcentral is "partial 16S ribosomal RNA". It matches the Rfam family "Bacterial small subunit ribosomal RNA", at positions 338 to 795 of the family's 1533-position model. The record is from RNAcentral.